RNAcentral lists this ribosomal RNA (550 nucleotides) under uncultured bacterium. Its description in RNAcentral is "bacterial SSU rRNA". It matches the Rfam family "Bacterial small subunit ribosomal RNA", at positions 355 to 896 of the family's 1533-position model. The record is from RNAcentral.
UAGGGAAUCUUCGGCAAUGGACGGAAGUCUGACCGAGCAGCGCCGCGUGAGUGAAGAAGGUUUUCGGAUCGUAAAGCUCUGUUGUAAGAGAAGAACGAGUGUGAGAGUGGAAAGUUCACACUGUGACGGUAUCUUACCAGAAAGGGACGGCUAACUACGUGCCAGCAGCCGCGGUAAUACGUAGGUCCCGAGCGUUAUCCGGAUUUAUUGGGCGUAAAGCGAGCGCAGGCGGUUAGAUAAGUCUGAAGUUAAAGGCUGUGGCUUAACCAUAGUACGCUUUGGAAACUGUUUAACUUGAGUGCAGAAGGGGAGAGUGGAAUUCCAUGUGUAGCGGUGAAAUGCGUAGAUAUAUGGAGGAACACCGGUGGCGAAAGCGGCUCUCUGGUCUGUAACUGACGCUGAGGCUCGAAAGCGUGGGGAGCAAACAGGAUUAGAUACCCUGGUAGUCCACGCCGUAAACGAUGAGUGCUAGGUGUUGGGUCCUUUCCGGGACUCAGUGCCGCAGCUAACGCAUUAAGCACUCCGCCUGGGGAGUACGACCGCAAGGUUG